RNAcentral lists this small nucleolar RNA (150 nucleotides) under Otolemur garnettii (small-eared galago). Lineage: Eukaryota; Metazoa; Chordata; Mammalia; Primates; Galagidae. The record is from RNAcentral.
AAGCAAAUUUAAAAACCAAACUCAUAGAAACAGAGAGUAAAAUGGUCAACAUCAAGACUUGAAGUGAGUCUUAUGUGCUAUACAGAUAGUUGAAGGUUAAUUAGCAGUAUAACUAUAAAUAGUAAUGCUGCCAGUCUCCUUCAGACAAGA